GAGUUUCGUGAAGAAGGAGACAGAAUUGAGGAGUACUUCAGGAAGUUUUCUAAUGGCGGCACCUUGCACAUGGGGUUAGCAACAAUAUUUCGAGGUUAUAUUUGCAUGAUCGCUAAAAAUUCUGUGAGGCUGGCUUCUAUUGUCAUGGGUAAGCCAGGCAUAAUUUCUGAAGAUGCACGUCUCACCACACUGAUGACUCCAAGAAAGGGAGA
Molecule: long non-coding RNA, 212 nt
Organism: Triticum dicoccoides
Lineage: Eukaryota; Viridiplantae; Streptophyta; Magnoliopsida; Poales; Poaceae
Exons: 3
Source: RefSeq, a predicted model, not a curated record